Non-coding RNA from Nicotiana tabacum (common tobacco), 1712 nucleotides. NCBI's taxonomy places the organism in Eukaryota, Viridiplantae, Streptophyta, Magnoliopsida, Solanales, Solanaceae. The record is from RefSeq and is a predicted model, not a curated record.
UUCUCUGUCCAUAAAAACUGUAUCCGUUAUCUAUAGCCCCUCACUAUACCAAACGCCAAAGACUUACAUUUUUCUCUUCUUUUUUCAUGCCCUAAUUAUACUCGUCGUCCUAUAUAUAUAUAGACCCUUGGUCCAUUUCCCAUACCUCUUUAACUUUAAUCACAUAUAAAAUACUUAUAAUUUAACACUGCCCAUUACUUCAACCACCAAGAAGAAAAAACUAAACAUGAAGCUGUAUGUCAAAGAAUUUUCUCUUCAUGUUCUUCUUGUUUAUAUGAUAAUUAUAUUCUUGUUUUUCACGUACCAAUCUAAUGCUUCGAUACAAUCCUUUGUUUAUGGCGGAUGUUCACAGCAGAAAUACAAUCCUGGUACAGUUUACGAGUCAAACGUUAAUUCGCUUCUAACUUCACUAGUCAACUCAGCAUCUUACGCAAAUUUCAACAACUUCAAGAUUUCUCUACCUGGUUCGAGUCAAAACGACAUCGUUUACGGCCUCUUUCAGUGCCGAGGCGACUUGGGAAACUCCGACUGCCGGAAAUGCGUGGCUACGGCGGUGAGCAGAGUCGGGACGCUAUGCACCACCACGUGCGGCGGCGCGUUGCAGUUAGAUGGGUGUUUCGUGAAGUACGAUAAUGUUUCUUUUCUAGGUGUGGAAGACAAAGGUGUUGUCAUGCACAAAUGUGGACCGUCGAUUAUGGAUGAUAAUGAAAUGUUGACUCGGAACGACGCCGUAUUAACGUAUUUAGGAGCUGUGCCACAGGGUCAAUAUUUUAGAGUUGGCGGGUCGGGGAAAAUUCAGGCUGUGGCGCAGUGUACACAAGAUUUGAGUGUGAGUGAGUGUGAUGAUUGCUUAUCGGAGGCGAUCAGACAGCUGAAAAGUGAGUGUGGGUCCUCACCUUGGGGAGAUAUGUUUAUGACCAAGUGCUACGCGCGGUUCUCGGAGCGUGGAUUCACCUCUAAAAGCGGAGAUGAAGAUGUUGAAAAGACACUUGCAAUUACAAUUGGGCUCAUAGCUGGUGUUGCUGUCCUCAUUGUUUUCCUUUCGAUUCUAAAUAAGCUUUGUGAAAAGAAAGGUGGUAAAUAAAUAAUGAAACGGAGGGAGUAGUAUUUUAUUUGUCAUAUGUGCAAUGAGCCUAUUAUAAUUGUUCCUCUUUACUUUGACAUUUGCAGGUGGUAAAUAAAUAAUGAAACGGAGGGAGUAGUAUUUUAUUUGUCAUAUGUGCAAUGAGCCUAUUAUAAUUGUUCCUCUUUACUUUGACAUUUGCAGGUGGUAAAUAAAUAAGGCACAUCUUGUGCAUGUGGAUAGAACUUCUUCUCCCUUGCUUCUUACUUGGGUAAAUUGCUUUCUUUUGGUGAUCUUAGCUUUUGUAUAUUGGAUCUUACUUCUUACCCUAACCCAUGCUUUUUUCAAGAUUCCUUCCUUUAUCCUAAACACAAGACCCAAAAGGUUGGCUAAAAAGUGAUUGGAAGGAAACAGGUGCCUCAAAAGCAAUAAUAGCAGCUAUAGUGCAUGUAACAAUUGGCCUUUAUACUUUUGUUAAAGUGCUCAUAAUCACUUUCUGCUGAAGAUAAAGUCUUGCAUUAGGGCACUUUUUGUUUGUGAAGGAUAUGCAAUUUGUUAAGCCCUUUAUCAUGUAAGGAACACUUUAUAUUCAAUUAUAUAAAGUCAUAAUGCAGAAAGUUCAAUUGCUAUAUGUAAAGUUGUAUCUUUA